AUUGAACGCUGGCGGAAUGCUUUACACAUGCAAGUCGAACGGUAGAGGGGGCAACCCCUUGAGAGUGGCGAACGGGUGAGUAAUAUAUCGGAACGUGCCCAGUCGUGGGGAUAACGUAGCGAAAGUUACGCUAAUACCGCAUACGAUCCACGGAUGAAAGCGGGGGACUCGCAAGAGCCUCGCGCGAUUGGAGCGGCCGAUAUCAGAUUAGGUAGUUGGUGGGGUAAAGGCUCACCAAGCCAACGAUCUGUAGCUGGUCUGAGAGGACGACCAGCCACACUGGAACUGAGACACGGUCCAGACUCCUACGGGAGGCAGCAGUGGGGAAUUUUGGACAAUGGACGCAAGUCUGAUCCAGCCAUUCCGCGUGCAGGAUGAAGGCCCUCGGGUUGUAAACUGCUUUUGUACGGAACGAAAAGGUUUCUCUUAAUACGAGGAGCUCAUGACGGUACCGUAAGAAUAAGCACCGGCUAACUACGUGCCAGCAGCCGCGGUAAAGUGACU
This 504-nucleotide ribosomal RNA is filed under the name uncultured bacterium. Its description in RNAcentral is "bacterial SSU rRNA". It matches the Rfam family "Bacterial small subunit ribosomal RNA", at positions 30 to 528 of the family's 1533-position model. The record is from RNAcentral.